GCGUGAGCGCCAACGUGCGAGAGCGGUGUAUCUCAAUCCGAGCACACUAUGAAUCUGUAUCUGUGAGUUCGCCCUUAGCCGCUCUCUGUAGCUCGCGCUCUCAGAUUCUCUCGCGGGCGGCGUGUUUCUACACUUUGCAAGCGUGUGCCAGUCAGAAGUUAGUUGAACAUUCAGCGCCACAAAAGCCACGCUAAAAACAUAACAAUCAAAAAAUCAAAAUUUACUAAAAAAUUAAUUUUGUUUAAACUCAAAAAUUGGCAAUAUUUUUUGAGCAAUUAAAAGAGCAAAAGCAACCCAAAACUAAUUAUAAUGAGAGCUUUACCGAGAGCUAAAGUUCAAUUAAGACCAACCGAAAAGCACGUGUCACUGCCAAGCAGUUGAAACAAAUAAAAUCCAAGCAAAGUGAAAUAUUAAUGUGGAACUCUCAACAAAAUAAAAAUUAAGAAAUAUAAUUCACAAAAAUUAGCGCGUGUUUGUAGUGCCGCCAGAAAAAUAGAAAAAAAGCCUAACAACAAAAUUUCAGCAGCGUUUCAUCGGCAGCAGCGUUAAACGUUUUUCAAACUGAAAACUGUCAACAAAAUAAAACCACAAAAAAGAAAAAAAAAAAA
Drosophila kikkawai is the source of this 608-nucleotide non-coding RNA. NCBI's taxonomy places the organism in Eukaryota, Metazoa, Arthropoda, Insecta, Diptera, Drosophilidae. The record is from RefSeq and is a predicted model, not a curated record.